RNAcentral lists this ribosomal RNA (830 nucleotides) under uncultured Roseobacter sp. RNAcentral describes it as "bacterial SSU rRNA". It matches the Rfam family "Bacterial small subunit ribosomal RNA", at positions 387 to 1233 of the family's 1533-position model. The record is from RNAcentral. Lineage: Bacteria; Pseudomonadati; Pseudomonadota; Alphaproteobacteria; Rhodobacterales; Roseobacteraceae.
UCUAGCCAUGCCGCGUGUGUGAUGAAGGCCCUAGGGUCGUAAAGCACUUUCGCCAGAGAUGAUAAUGACAGUAUCUGGUAAAGAAACCCCGGCUAACUCCGUGCCAGCAGCCGCGGUAAUACGGAGGGGGUUAGCGUUGUUCGGAAUUACUGGGCGUAAAGCGCACGUAGGCGGAUUAGUAAGUUAGAGGUGAAAUCCCAGGGCUCAACCCUGGAACUGCCUUUAAUACUGCUAGUCUUGAGUUCGAGAGAGGUAAGUGGAAUUCCGAGUGUAGAGGUGAAAUUCGUAGAUAUUUGGAGGAACACCAGUGGCGAAGGCGGCUCACUGGCUCGAUACUGACGCUGAGGUACGAAAGUGUGGGGAGCAAACAGGAUUAGAUACCCUGGUAGUCCACACCGUAAACGAUGAAUGCCAGACGUCAGCAAGCAUGCUUGUUGGUGUCACACCUAACGGAUUAAGCAUUCCGCCUGGGGAGUACGGUCGCAAGAUUAAAACUCAGAGGAAUUGACGGGGGCCCGCACAAGCGGUGGAGCAUGUGGUUUAAUUCGACGCAACGCGCAGAACCUUACCAACCCUUGACAUACUUGUCGCGGAUUCCAGAGAUGGAUUCCUUCAGUUCGGCUGGACAAUGUACAGGUGCUGCAUGGCUGUCGUCAGCUCGUGUCGUGAGAUGUUCGGUUAAGUCCGGCAACGAGCGCAACCCACGUCCUUAGUUACCAGCAUUUAGUUGGGUACCCUAAGGAGACUGCCGGUGAUAAGCCGGAGGAAGGUGUGGACGACGUCAAGUCAUCAUGGCCCUUACGGGUUGGGCUACACACGUGCUACAAUGG